This 253-nucleotide ribosomal RNA is filed under the name uncultured bacterium. RNAcentral's name for it is "partial 16S ribosomal RNA". It matches the Rfam family "Bacterial small subunit ribosomal RNA", at positions 524 to 776 of the family's 1533-position model. The record is from RNAcentral.
UACGUAGGGUGCGAGCGUUGUCCGGAUUUAUUGGGCGUAAAGAGCUCGUAGGCGGUUUGUCGCGUCGGCUGUGAAAACUCGGGGCUCAACCCCGAGCCUGCAGUCGAUACGGGCAGACUAGAGUGCUGUAGGGGAGACUGGAAUUCCUGGUGUAGCGGUGAAAUGCGCAGAUAUCAGGAGGAACACCGGUGGCGAAGGCGGGUCUCUGGGCCGAUACUGACACUGAGAAGCGAAAGCGUGGGGAGCGAACGGG